This 253-nucleotide ribosomal RNA is filed under the name uncultured bacterium. Its description in RNAcentral is "partial 16S ribosomal RNA". It matches the Rfam family "Bacterial small subunit ribosomal RNA", at positions 524 to 776 of the family's 1533-position model. The record is from RNAcentral.
UACGGGGGGGGCAAGCGUUGUUCGGAAUUACUGGGCGUAAAGGGCUCGUAGGUGGCCAACUAAGUCAGACGUGAAAUCCCCAGGCUCAACUUGGGAACUGCGUCUGAUACUGGAUGGCUUGAAUUCGGGAGAGGGAUGCAGAAUUCCAGGUGUAGCGGUGAAAUGCGUAGAUAUCUGGAGGAAUACCGGUGGCGAAGGCGGCAUCCUGGAUCGAUAUUGACACUGAUGAGCGAAAGCUAGGGGAGCAAACGGG